This 804-nucleotide long non-coding RNA is filed under the name Brassica napus (rape). Its description in RNAcentral is "long non-coding RNA (BNAP_LNC003118)". Lineage: Eukaryota; Viridiplantae; Streptophyta; Magnoliopsida; Brassicales; Brassicaceae. The record is from RNAcentral.
UAAUCCCCAAGGGGAGAUGUAGUCCACAGAUAGAUUUUUUUUCUGAGUAUUCAAAUAGUUCCUAAAGCAUAGGCCUAUAUCCGUGUUAGGUGACCAGGAUAAUUGUGACUUAGUUUCGCGCAGCAGAUAGAUCGAACCUGAAACGUGUUGGCAUCUCAGUCCCGUCUCCUUACCACUCGACCACAAUCACCUGGUCAAUGCAUGUGUAUAUUUGUUGUCAAUCGAACACGUUUCAUAAUUUUUUAAAAAAAUUUGGUAGUGAACUGACAAUACAAACGGCGUAGUGUCUCCAUUCAUAUUUGUUCUAUUUUAAAAUAUGUAUGUGCAUUGAGAAUCCUAACUAGACGAGGAAAGCACCUAACUAAGACGUUGGUACCCAGCUAGGAGACUGCAUCGCCGGUUUGUGUACAUUAACAUGAGAUAACAUUGGGUUAGUAUUUGAGUGUUUCAUCUGACUCCAUAUUUUGCCACUGACUUUAUGACUCGUAAAUGAUCCCCAACAAUGCAUAUGGCCUACAAACUUCAAGAUAAAUGCACCUCUUGAUAUAUAUUUUUCUCUUAUCCUCGUUAAACAUGAAAGUUAAUAUUCAGUGUGUAGCUAAAUAACUCAUACUUACCAAAUGAGGAAACGCUGAACCUGAAAAACAUCCGAGUUACAUUUGAAGCGUUAAAAUAAAACUUGGAAAUGUCGCUAUUCGGAGUAAAAACUUUCACGUGCUUGCUUAUUUAUUACAUUCAUUGCAUGAGAGCUGUCUCUCUAGCUAUCUCUCUUCUUCUUACCCCCUCUAUCAUACUCAAUCAAAA